Molecule: ribosomal RNA, 255 nt
Filed under: Triticum aestivum (bread wheat)
Lineage: Eukaryota; Viridiplantae; Streptophyta; Magnoliopsida; Poales; Poaceae
Description: partial small subunit ribosomal RNA
Source: RNAcentral
AUGAAUCUGUUAGCCUAGAACUGUCGGGGAUUGGGGUUGACCCCAACAGUUGGCGAAUUACGGGAUCUGAUUAGGUCAUACAACCCAGCAGUGGUGUUCCUUUGUGAAAUGAAGAAGAAAGCCAGGGCCAUGGAGAAAAGAAGGUGGAGCCUUGGGUUCAAGUGUGGAGUGGCUGUGGACUGUGAGGGACGGAGUGGUGGUCUGGCUUUGUGGUGGAGAGAGCAUGUGAAUGUCACAGUGAGGCCAUGGUGCUAA